CUUGCUUGGUGGAUCAGUGGCGAACGGGUGAGUAACACGUGAGCAACCUGCCCUGGACUCUGGGAUAAGCGCUGGAAACGGCGUCUAAUACUGGAUAUGAGCCCCUAUCGCAUGGUGGGGGUUGGAAAGAUUUUUUGGUCUGGGAUGGGCUCGCGGCCUAUCAGCUUGUUGGUGAGGUAAUGGCUCACCAAGGCGUCGACGGGUAGCCGGCCUGAGAGGGUGACCGGCCACACUGGGACUGAGACACGGCCCAGACUCCUACGGGAGGCAGCAGUGGGGAAUAUUGCACAAUGGGCGAAAGCCUGAUGCAGCAACGCCGCGUGAGGGAUGACGGCCUUCGGGUUGUAAACCUCUUUUAGCAGGGAAGAAGCGAAAGUGACGGUACCUGCAGAAAAAGCGCCGGCUAACUACGUGCCAGCAGCCGCGGUAAUACGUAGGGCGCAAGCGUUAUCCGGAAUUAUUGGGCGUAAAGAGCUCGUAGGCGGUUUGUCGCGUCUGCUGUGAAAUCCCGAGGCUCAACCUCGGGCCUGCAGUGGGUACGGGCAGACUAGAGUGCGGUAGGGGAGAUUGGAAUUCCUGGUGUAGCGGUGGAAUGCGCAGAUAUCAGGAGGAACACCGAUGGCGAAGGCAGAUCUCUGGGCCGUAACUGACGCUGAGGAGCGAAAGGGUGGGGAGCAAACAGGCUUAGAUACCCUGGUAGUCCACCCCGUAAACGUUGGGAACUAGUUGUGGGGACCAUUCCACGGUUUCCGUGACGCAGCUAACGCA
This 768-nucleotide ribosomal RNA is filed under the name Microbacterium sp. Its description in RNAcentral is "bacterial SSU rRNA". It matches the Rfam family "Bacterial small subunit ribosomal RNA", at positions 79 to 859 of the family's 1533-position model. Lineage: Bacteria; Bacillati; Actinomycetota; Actinomycetes; Micrococcales; Microbacteriaceae. The record is from RNAcentral.